UACGUAGGGAGCUAGCGUUGUCCGGAAUCAUUGGGCGUAAAGAGCGUGUAGGCGGCCCGGUAAGUCCGCUGUGAAAGUCGGGGGCUCAACCCUCGAAUGCCGGUGGAUACUGUCGGGCUCGAGUGCGGAAGAGGCGAGUGGAAUUCCUGGUGUAGCGGUGAAAUGCGCAGAUAUCAGGAGGAACACCAAUUGCGAAGGCAGCUCGCUGGGACGUUACUGACGCUGAGACGCGAAAGCGUGGGGAGCAAACAGG
RNAcentral lists this ribosomal RNA (253 nucleotides) under uncultured bacterium. RNAcentral's name for it is "partial 16S ribosomal RNA". It matches the Rfam family "Bacterial small subunit ribosomal RNA", at positions 524 to 776 of the family's 1533-position model. The record is from RNAcentral.